RNAcentral lists this ribosomal RNA (463 nucleotides) under uncultured bacterium. RNAcentral's name for it is "partial 16S ribosomal RNA". It matches the Rfam family "Bacterial small subunit ribosomal RNA", at positions 28 to 507 of the family's 1533-position model. The record is from RNAcentral.
GAUGAACGCUGACCGAAUGCUUAACACAUGCAAGUCUUUGGCGAAGCUGUGCUUGCACAGCCUAGCCAAGGCGGACGGGUGAGUAACGCGUAAGGAACUUGCCCUGCAGUCAGGGAUAACAGACGGAAACGACUGAUAAGACCUGGUAAAGUCAGGCGGACUCAUGUCCAGCCUGAUGAAAAGAGAUGCUGCAGGAGAGCCUUGCGUCCUAUUAGCUUGUUGGUGGGGUAACGGCCCACCAAGGCGAUGAUAGGUAGCCGGCCUGAGAGGGUGGACGGCCACAAGGGGACAGAGAUACGGCCCUUACUCCUACGGGAGGCAGCAGUGGGGAAUAGUGGACAAUGGGGGCAACCCUGAUCCAGCAAUUCUGUGUGCACGAUGAAGGUUUUCGGAUUGUAAAGUGCUUUCAGCAGGGAAGAAAAAAAUGACGGUACCUGCAGAAGAAGCGACGGCUAAAUACGUG